AGAGUUUGAUUCUGGCUCAGGAUGAACGCUGGCGGCGUGCUUAACACAUGCAAGUCGAACGAGAACCAUUGGAUCGAGGAUUCGUCCAAGUGAAGGUGGGGAAAGUGGCGGACGGGUGAGUAACGCGUGAGCAAUCUGCCUUGGAGUGGGGAAUAACGGCUGGAAACAGCCGCUAAUACCGCAUGAUACAGCUGGGAGGCAUCUCCCUGGCUGUCAAAGAUUUAUCGCUCUGAGAUGAGCUCGCGUCUGAUUAGCUGGUUGGCGGGGUAACGGCCCACCAAGGCGACGAUCAGUAGCCGGACUGAGAGGUUGGCCGGCCACAUUGGGACUGAGACACGGCCCAGACUCCUACGGGAGGCAGCAGUGGGGAAUAUUGGGCAAUGGGCGCAAGCCUGACCCAGCAACGCCGCGUGAAGGAAGAAGGCUUUCGGGUUGUAAACUUCUUUUCUUGGGGACGAAGAAAGUGACGGUACCCAAGGAAUAAGCCACGGCUAACUACGUGCCAGCAGCCGCGGUAAUACGUAAGUGGCACGCGUUA
This 538-nucleotide ribosomal RNA is filed under the name uncultured bacterium. RNAcentral's name for it is "bacterial SSU rRNA". It matches the Rfam family "Bacterial small subunit ribosomal RNA", at positions 8 to 543 of the family's 1533-position model. The record is from RNAcentral.